CUGAAGACUCUACUUGACUAGCUGAGAGGAGGUGCAUGGCCGUCGUCAGUUCGUACUGUGAAGCAUCCUGUUAAGUCAGGCAACGAGCGAGACCCACGCCAACAGUUGCCAGCUCGUCCUCCGGGGAUGGUGGGGACACUGUUGGGACCGCCUCUGCUAAAGAGGAGGAAGGAAUGGGGCAACGGUAGGUCAGCAUGCCCCGAAUUAUCUGGGCUACACGCGGGCUACAAUGGGUGGGACAAUGGGUAUCGACACCGAAAGGUGAAGGCAAUCUCCUAAACCCAUCCGUAGUUCGGAUUGUGGGCUGCAACUCGCCCACAUGAAGCUGGAAUCUGUAGUAAUCGUGUCUCAAAAUAGCGCGGUGAAUAUGUCCCUGCUCCUU
This 382-nucleotide ribosomal RNA is filed under the name uncultured Methanomicrobiales archaeon. RNAcentral's name for it is "bacterial SSU rRNA". It matches the Rfam family "Archaeal small subunit ribosomal RNA", at positions 959 to 1338 of the family's 1478-position model. The record is from RNAcentral. Lineage: Archaea; Methanobacteriati; Methanobacteriota; Methanomicrobia; Methanomicrobiales.